This 484-nucleotide ribosomal RNA is filed under the name uncultured bacterium. Its description in RNAcentral is "partial 16S ribosomal RNA". It matches the Rfam family "Bacterial small subunit ribosomal RNA", at positions 899 to 1397 of the family's 1533-position model. The record is from RNAcentral.
ACUCAAAUGAAUUGACGGGGAGCCGCACAAGCAGUGGAGCGUGUUGUUUAAUUCGAUGGUAAGCGAAGAACCUUACCAAGGCUUGACAUCCUAGGAAUUAUUGUGAAAGCAGUGAGUGCCUUCGGGAGCCUAGUGACAGGUGUUGCAUGGCCGUCGUCAGCUCGUGUCGUGAGAUGUUUGGUUAAGUCCAUCAACGAGCGCAACCCUUGUGAUUAGUUGAAUUUUUCUAAUCAGACUGCCCCGGUAACGGGGAGGAAGGAGGGGAUGAUGUCAGGUCAGUAUUACCCUUACGCCUUGGGCGACAAACGCGCUACAAUGGCCGGUACAAUGGGCAGCCAAGCCGCAAGGCGGAGCAAAUCCCAUCAAAGCCGGUCCCAGUUCGGAUAAGAGGCUGAAACUCGCCUCUUUGAAGUUGGAAUUGCUAGUAAUCGCAGAUCAGAAUGCUGCGGUGAAUACGUUCCCGGCUCUUGUACACACCGCCCGU